GAGGCUGAAAAGCGUAGUCGAUGGGAAACAGGUUAAUAUUCCUGUACUUCUGGUUACUGCGAUGGAGGGACGGAGAAGGCUAGGCCAGCUUGGCGUUGGUUGUCCAAGUUUAAGGUGGUAGGCUGAAAUCUUAGGUAAAUCCGGGGUUUCAAGGCCGAGAGCUGAUGACGAGUCGUCUUUUAGAUGACGAAGUGGUUGAUGCCAUGCUUCCAAGAAAAGCUUCUAAGCUUCAGGUAACCAGGAACCGUACCCCAAACCGACACAGGUGGUCGGGUAGAGAAUACCAAGGCGCUUGAGAGAACUCGGGUGAAGGAACUAGGCAAAAUGGCACCGUAACUUCGGGAGAAGGUGCGCCGGCUAGGGUGAAGGAUUUACUCCGUAAGCUCUGGCUGGUCGAAGAUACCAGGCCGCUGCGACUGUUUAUUAAAAACACAGCACUCUGCAAACACGAAAGUGGACGUAUAGGGUGUGACGCCUGCCCGGUGCCGGAAGGUUAAUUGAUGGGGUUAGCGCAAGCGAAGCUCUUGAUCGAAGCCCCGGUAAACGGCGGCCGUAACUAUAACGGUCCUAAGGUAGCGAAAUUCCUUGUCGGGUAAGUUCCGACCUGCACGAAUGGCGUAACGAUGGCGGCGCUGUCUCCACCCGAGACUCAGUGAAAUUGAAAUCGCUGUGAAGAUGCAGUGUAUCCGCGGCUAGACGGAAAGACCCCGUGAACCUUUACUGUAGCUUUGCACUGGACUUUGAGCCUGCUUGUGUAGGAUAGGUGGGAGGCUUUGAAGCGUGGACGCCAGUUCGCGUGGAGCCAUCCUUGAAAUACCACCCUGGCAUGCUUGAGGUUCUAACUCUGGUCCGUAAUCCGGAUCGAGGACAGUGUAUGGUGGGCAGUUUGACUGGGGCGGUCUCCUCCUAAAGAGUAACGGAGGAGUACGAAGGUGCGCUCAGACCGGUCGGAAAUCGGUCGCAGAGUAUAAAGGCAAAAGCGCGCUUGACUGCGAGACAGACACGUCGAGCAGGUACGAAAGUAGGUCUUAGUGAUCCGGUGGUUCUGUAUGGAAGGGCCAUCGCUCAACGGAUAAAAGGUACUCCGGGGAUAACAGGCUGAUACCGCCCAAGAGUUCAUAUCGACGGCGGUGUUUGGCACCUCGAUGUCGGCUCAUCACAUCCUGGGGCUGAAGCCGGUCCCAAGGGUAUGGCUGUUCGCCAUUUAAAGUGGUACGCGAGCUGGGUUUAGAACGUCGUGAGACAGUUCGGUCCCUAUCUGCCGUGGACGUUUGAGAUUUGAGAGGGGCUGCUCCUAGUACGAGAGGACCGGAGUGGACGAACCUCUGGUGUUCCGGUUGUCACGCCAGUGGCAUUGCCGGGUAGCUAUGUUCGGAAAAGAUAACCGCUGAAAGCAUCUAAGCGGGAAACUUGCCUCAAGAUGAGAUCUCACUGGGAACUUGAUUCCCCUGAAGGGCCGUCGAAGACUACGACGUUGAUAGGCUGGGUGUGUAAGCGUUGUGAGGCGUUGAGCUAACCAGUACUAAUUGCCCGUGAGGCUUGACC
Molecule: ribosomal RNA, 1545 nt
Filed under: metagenome
Description: bacterial LSU rRNA
Rfam family: Bacterial large subunit ribosomal RNA
Source: RNAcentral